UGCCAGCAGCCGCGGUAAUACGAAGGUGGCGAGCGUUGUUCGGAUUCACUGGGCAUAAAGGGCGCGUAGGCGGUCUCGAAAGCGGCGUGUGAAAUCCCGGAGCUCAACUCCGGAACUGCAUGCCGAACUUCAAGACUAGAGGACGGGAGGGGAGUGUGGAACUCUAGGUGGAGCGGUGAAAUGCGUAGAUAUCUAGAGGAACGCCGGUGGCGAAAGCGACACUCUGGCCCGACCCUGACGCUGAGGCGCGAAAGCGUGGGUAGCAAACAGGAUUAGAUA
This 279-nucleotide ribosomal RNA is filed under the name uncultured bacterium. RNAcentral describes it as "partial 16S ribosomal RNA". It matches the Rfam family "Bacterial small subunit ribosomal RNA", at positions 506 to 784 of the family's 1533-position model. The record is from RNAcentral.